Molecule: non-coding RNA, 3405 nt
Organism: Phasianus colchicus (ring-necked pheasant)
Lineage: Eukaryota; Metazoa; Chordata; Aves; Galliformes; Phasianidae
Source: RefSeq, a predicted model, not a curated record
CGGCUGUACUGCAUACGCACAGAUGAAAUGACGAGUGCGGCACCUGCUCAUCUUUUCCGAUGCAUUGCAUUUACUGUGCAUGGGCAGGUUACCUCUGUGGCUUGUGGGUGUCUUACACUAAAGCACAUCUGCUGCACUUCAAAGUGUUUUGGGCAGGAAAGCCUGCACAGAAAUGCGGGAGUUCUGGUUUAUAACACAAAAUAUAUCUAAUAAAUACUGUAGGGAAGGUCAUGCAUUCAUAUGGGAGUACAAUUUAAUACUGGUUUUACCCUAAAGAGCCCUAUAAUAUCACUGUUCAUCCUAGAUACCUUCCAUACUAGUUGACAAAGUUCCAGCUAAAUGCAGAACCUUAAUAUUAAAUACCUGAGCAAGGAUACAAAGAAUGUUUAACAGAGGUAAAACACAUGCAUAACAUGGUGUAUACGCCAUAGCAUGACAAAGGAGCUCCAACAGCAAUUCACCAUCCUGUGGCCAACAAGCAACUCAGUCACUCUAACUUAGAGAAACAUUUUUCCCUCUUAGUAGAAAGUGACAUUUCUCAUUUAGCUUUACCUGUGAACUGUUAGCUCUUACUAAAGAUGCCCAUCUGAUCAAAAGACUUCUUGCCAUAUCCUACAUACUGGGAUACUUCUGUCCUCACACAUGUGCUGAUUAUGGCUAUAAAGCCAUGGCAAGCAGUUAGAAAAUGUAUUUGCUGGAACCACAUGUAAAUCAAAUCAAGUAUUUUUACAGUAAUUUUGUUUCUAUUUGUUCUAUUGUUCUGUUUAUAAUUUAAUCUAAUAAUGCUCUUCUACCUGCAGACUGCAGCAGGAUGAAAACACAGAAAGGAGGGGUUUUCUAACUCUACAAACUCCACAAUCACUCUUCACGUGAAAUAAGCUGUCCCAUGAGCACUGAUACCUAGAACACCUACAAAUGCUGGAAUCAUCUCAGGUGCCCUACAGAUACAGAGGCUACUCUCACCCCAGUGUCCAGUACAAUAAAAAAUGCAAAACACUACAAUGCCAGCACUCUGCCAUAUCUAAUUACUGCCCUGAACAACAAAGGUCAGCACAUUACACCUGAUCAGCCUGGGAGGCUAGGACCUCGCAUGUAGGCUGGAAUGAAGAAGGGUUGCAGGCCUACCUGAAAGAUGGGGUAGCAUCUGGUGACCUCAGAGCACUGUGCAGAGAAAACAGACCCAUCAAAUGGGAACACAUAGAUGUGUUGAAUGUCUACAAAAAAAGAUCUGCACUCCAACAAGGCAUAUGGCUUGCUGGAAUCAAGCCAGGAGUGUGGCUUGAUCUCACAACCCCACCAACCACGUCUGAAGGUGGCAAUCAGAGACGUGAGCCUCUCUCCACCUAGCCUGAACUGGGGUCACUUUAGGGGAGAACAGUACGCUCCAACUCAAGCACACUCCAGGCAGAUGAGCCAAUGUGGGUGAUGAUGGAACUCCCAGCACUCCAUGAGCUGCCUGCAGAGGUACCGGGCCAUCAGCCCAAGAGACGCAACACGCAGCAGGACAACCUGUGCCUGAUGCUUGCAAGAGAAACCAUAAGGUCCAUGUGGUACAGAUGCAGCCCCUUUCAUAUAUGUUUUACCUCUCCCUUGUGUAGGAGGCUGCACGCCACCAAAUGGUGAGCUGAGAGAAACCAGUGCACUGAAGGGCCCCUGCUGUGCGUAUCCAACAUGGCAGCUGUGGCGGAAAGGCCGCAGCGUAUCUGGGUGGGAUCGGCCUCACGGGCUCUGUGCUAGCAGCCUGCUCCCAGACCACAGGCUUUUAAGUCAACUAAAGCAACAUGAAAGUGAUUCAAAGUAUUUCACCACAUUCUUACAGGCACCUCUCUCCCCUGACUCACCCAACUUGGCAGCAGAGCUGACAAGAGUCUCCAGCGCUUGGCCGUGGGUGCUGCACUACUGCGGUGCCAAAAUCACAGAAACUCCCUUUUUUCUUCCCGACUUCUGCCGCAAAUAGCAGUGCCGGUAUUUUCCCCUCGCAGCUAUUGAUUUGUGAGCCUCACAGCUGAGAGGCAGAGGCCAAGCUAUCCGCCUUUUCUGAAAGACAGUAACCUGGGAUCCUUCUCUGCUCCGCAGAGCCCACCCUGCCCUGCAGGAGAGGUUUUAGGAAUAGGCUCCCACAGCUCAGGUGAAUACAGCUCGCCUGUCUUUCCAUUUGUUUAACGACUGUACAGAAAAAAAGUAGGAAACGAUGACAAGUUUUGGAAUGCUACCCGUCCCCUCGAGCUGCUGGCGAGAAACCAGCUCACAAGGAACCACAUUCCCAGAAGUAACUUUUAAGAUAAAAGCGGCAUUGUAUAAAUACUUCCUCCUUGGAAAGACAGAGCACUAAUACUCUUCAGCCUGUGCUGCCUCUCCCCUAAUGCUCUCCUCAGCAGAGAGCCGACACUGCAGCAAGCCUGUGCUGAUGUGUCCCUGCCUGCGGUGGGAUGGCUCAGUGCCCCGGUGUCUUCUCUGUCAUGGCCCAGCAGCAGGGGACAGAGCUGGGACAGGAGGAGGUGGCAGCCUCAGUGGGGAGAAAGUAGGAUCACGGAGAAGAAACAGAGACUGAGAGGGUAAGGAUGCAGAUGUAUGCGUGGGGAGACACGGACCAGGAGCUGGAUGUCAGAGGGCGGAUGCAAAGCGGAGUUGUGGCAAGCAAUUCUCCAUUCGUCGCCUCCACGCUGCCUGAGCCUGGCUGUUCCCGGGGAAAGCAGUGCGAGGCUGUGGUCGGGGCUGCUGCAGCCACAGGGAAGGACGUGCCUCCCGAUAAGGAGAUAAAAAUGAAUCCUGAUUACGGGAUUCCCUCUGCAUCCUCCAAUGAGCUAAACGAAGAGGGCUGCGCAAGGGCAAAGGGAGCAACCUCUGAGAUGUGUCCCAGCCUUUGCUGAGCGAACAUCCUUACGAUCUGUUCACUGUGCACAGCAUAGGGAGGCGGCAGGCUGAUGGGGGAGAGAUCGUCUUCAGGCCCCUCUACCACUGAAGGGGGCCCCUCGGGAGGCAUCUUACCGGCGGGCAGGGGUGAGGUGGAGACCGUGUUGAGCAGCACCACGCAGACAGCCACAACAUCCCAUAACUUCAUCUUAGAUCUCCUUCCAACACGGGCCCCUGACAGGAAGGAGAAGAUUCUCCUGUCUCCAUCAUCUCCCAGAGCUGCCAUCACACCAAGAGGGAGAGGGGGUGCGGGAUGGCCACCGGCUUCUCUUUGCCCAAGGGAUGGGAACGUGUGAGUAUGUCCCUGUGCUGGCAGCCAAGUCACUUUGUGCUCAUUCUCCCUCAACACCUGGGCAGUGCCAGGGCACCUGUCCCCUGGCUGGAUCGGGCUGGUCUGGGCUUCAAGGCUGUGCAGCUUUGCUGUGGGGUGGGGAAUCCACCUUUCCCCUUCCCUUCUCUUGUUUCUUUACCUUUCCUUUCAUUUUCCCCUUC